GAUGAACGCUGGCGGCGUGCCUAAUACAUGCAAGUCGUGCGAACGGACGAGAAGCUUGCUUCUCUGAUGUUAGCGGCGGACGGGUGAGUAACACGUGGAUAACCUACCUAUAAGACUGGGAUAACUUCGGGAAACCGGAGCUAAUACCGGAUAAUAUUUUGAACCGCAUGGUUCAAAAGUGAAAGACGGUCUUGCUGUCACUUAUAGAUGGAUCCGCGCUGCAUUAGCUAGUUGGUAAGGUAACGGCUUACCAAGGCAACGAUGCAUAGCCGACCUGAGAGGGUGAUCGGCCACACUGGAACUGAGACACGGUCCAGACUCCUACGGGAGGCAGCAGUAGGGAAUCUUCCGCAAUGGGCGAAAGCCUGACGGAGCAACGCCGCGUGAGUGAUGAAGGUCUUCGGAUCGUAAAACUCUGUUAUUAGGGAAGAACAUAUGUGUAAGUAACUAUGCACAUCUUGACGGUACCUAAUCAGAAAGCCACGGCUAACUACGUGC
RNAcentral lists this ribosomal RNA (498 nucleotides) under uncultured bacterium. RNAcentral describes it as "partial 16S ribosomal RNA". It matches the Rfam family "Bacterial small subunit ribosomal RNA", at positions 28 to 508 of the family's 1533-position model. The record is from RNAcentral.